This 52-nucleotide ribosomal RNA is filed under the name Russula fellea. RNAcentral describes it as "partial 25S ribosomal RNA". The record is from RNAcentral. Lineage: Eukaryota; Fungi; Basidiomycota; Agaricomycetes; Russulales; Russulaceae.
ACCUCAAAUCGGGUGAGACUACCCGCUGAACUUAAGCAUAUCAAUAAGCGGA